GACGAACGCUGGCGGCGUGCUUAACACAUGCAAGUCGAACGGAAAGGCCCUUCGGGGUACUCGAGUGGCGAACGGGUGAGUAACACGUGGGUGAUCUGCCCUGCACUUUGGGAUAAGCCUGGGAAACUGGGUCUAAUACCGAAUAGGACCACGCGCUUCAUGGUGUGUGGUGGCAAGCUUUUGCGGUGUGGGAUGGGCCCGCGGCCUAUCAGCUUGUUGGUGGGUAAUGGCCUACCAAGGCGACGACGGGUCGCCGGCCUGAGAGGGUGACCGGCCACACUGGGACUGAGAUACGGCCCAGACUCCUACGGGAGGCAGCAGUGGGGAAUAUUGCACAAUGGGCGCAAGCCUGAUGCAGCGACGCCGCGUGAGGGAUGACGGCCUUCGGGUUGUAAACCUCUUUCACCAGGGACGAAGCGUAAGUGACGGUACCUGGAGAAGAAGCACCGGCCAACUACGUG
RNAcentral lists this ribosomal RNA (461 nucleotides) under uncultured bacterium. RNAcentral's name for it is "partial 16S ribosomal RNA". It matches the Rfam family "Bacterial small subunit ribosomal RNA", at positions 28 to 507 of the family's 1533-position model. The record is from RNAcentral.